UGCCAGCAGCGCGGUAAUACGGAGGGAGCUAGCGUUGUUCGGAAUUACUGGGCGUAAAGCGCACGUAGGCGGCUUUGUAAGUUAGAGGUGAAAGCCCGGAGCUCAACUCCGGAACUGCCUUUAAGACUGCAUCGCUAGAAUCAUGGAGAGGUUAGUGGAAUUCCGAGUGUAGAGGUGAAAUUCGUAGAUAUUCGGAAGAACACCAGUGGCGAAGGCGACUAACUGGACAUGUAUUGACGCUGAGGUGCGAAAGCGUGGGGAGCAAACAGG
RNAcentral lists this ribosomal RNA (270 nucleotides) under uncultured prokaryote. RNAcentral's name for it is "partial 16S ribosomal RNA". It matches the Rfam family "Bacterial small subunit ribosomal RNA", at positions 506 to 776 of the family's 1533-position model. The record is from RNAcentral.